UGAUGGAACUCUGGAGAGCCCUUUAAGUAGGCACCGAAGGCGUAAAGGCAAAGUUAUACUUUGCGAAAACUCUCAGGUAAAAAUACAGAGGUAUAUAA
This 98-nucleotide non-coding RNA is filed under the name Clostridiales bacterium. RNAcentral's name for it is "Glycine sequence". It matches the Rfam family "Glycine riboswitch aptamer". Rfam says of the family: This family represents the bacterial glycine riboswitch. Glycine riboswitches usually consist of two metabolite-binding aptamers domains with similar structures in tandem. Lineage: Bacteria; Bacillati; Bacillota; Clostridia; Eubacteriales. The record is from RNAcentral.